RNAcentral lists this long non-coding RNA (280 nucleotides) under Anas platyrhynchos platyrhynchos (common mallard). Its description in RNAcentral is "lncRNA (ENSAPLG00000027776.1)". Lineage: Eukaryota; Metazoa; Chordata; Aves; Anseriformes; Anatidae. The record is from RNAcentral.
CCUAAAUAGAUGAACUAACAAAAUCACAAAACAGGAUUGGAGGUAAGGGAUUCCUCAUCUACAGAGCUCCAAAUGCUACACUUGGGGAAAAUGCCAAGCACUCUUAACUACUGUGUUCACUUGGAAAUUACUUCACUGGCACUUGUCUGGGAACACAGAAGAGACACAACCUAAUCGAUCCAUAAAGGUAAAAAUUAGAGUUGUGUUAAUGCAAAAUGUAUUUUUAUGGUAAAAGGAAUUCGAAAUGCAAAACAUUGAAGGUAGAGAGAAAGAAUGAUAU